GGAAGAGAGCCAGUGUGGUGUAGUGGUUUAGAGCGAUAGACUCGUAAUCUAGGGAACUGGGUUCGUGUCUCCGCUCCUCCA
This 81-nucleotide transfer RNA is filed under the name Podarcis lilfordi (Lilford's wall lizard). RNAcentral's name for it is "tRNA.Thr". The record is from RNAcentral. Lineage: Eukaryota; Metazoa; Chordata; Lepidosauria; Squamata; Lacertidae.